RNAcentral lists this unclassified non-coding RNA (150 nucleotides) under Malbranchea concentrica. RNAcentral describes it as "partial internal transcribed spacer 2". The record is from RNAcentral. Lineage: Eukaryota; Fungi; Ascomycota; Eurotiomycetes; Onygenales; Malbrancheaceae.
CAACCUUCAAGCGCGGCUUGUGUAUUGGGCCUCGUCCCCCGUGGACGGGCCUGAAAGGCAGUGGCGGUACCGAUUUCGGUGCCUGAGCGUAUGGGGAUCAUCUCCGCUCUUUAGGCCCGGUCGGCGCCCGUCGUCACCAAAUUUUUUACC